RNAcentral lists this long non-coding RNA (2221 nucleotides) under Homo sapiens (human). RNAcentral describes it as "HSALNT0091802". The record is from RNAcentral. Lineage: Eukaryota; Metazoa; Chordata; Mammalia; Primates; Hominidae.
AACAAAGUAUUUUAAUAUUAGGGGAUCAGCAGCACAAAUCUAAGGGUAUCUGAAGAAUUUUAUCAUUUUUUUUUGCCAAAUAAAAUGGUAGUCCAUAAUACUAAGCCAUCAGCGCCACUGAUGACAGCUAAAGAAAAUUUAUGGGACAUCUUAAGGAAUCAGAGAAGGCUUUGGACAUAGAUGGGAAAUGCCUGUAUUUAAAUAGAUUUUUGACCCUAAAAUUGGAAUCAUUUCCUUUAGUAUAAAGUAAGGGUGGACAGGCCAUUGUGAAUACCAAAUUUUUCCCACUAGUAAUGAGUCCAUCCCUCGAGUGCUGCUAUGUGUCAGGAGCUUAACAAUGUAUUAGACACAUCUUAUUAUACUCAUUAUCAGAUGAGGAAACAGGCUAAAAGGUCAAGCCACAGCUAGCAUUUGAUGACAUGAGGCCUUAAAAAGUGAACAUUAGCUUCUAUAGAGUGCUUACUAUGGAGCAAACUCAGUGGGGAGUACUUUUUAUAAUUCCCACACAGCAAACUUAUGAGGUUGGUACUAUCACUAUUAUUAAUUUUUGCAGAUGAGGAAGUAGAGUCACAGAGGAAUCAAGUUGGAAUUCUAAGAUUGUUUAGCUCUCAACGCUUGCUUCUUCCACAUGGCUGUAUUCCUAGAUGAAAUGGAAAUUGACAUUUCCAAGAUUAAACACUAGUUAUUGAGAGAAGCCAGGGUUCUAGGAAGUAGUAGGGAAGAAGAAUUGAUGAUAGGGAAAAAUAGAAAGAAGCCAUCUAAAUUUAUCUAUUGUGAGCCACAAUGAAGAAUCUUUAAAAUAACCUGAAGUGGAAGCAAUUGUCUAACUAAGCACAGAUGAGAGUCAUUUAAUAGUUCAAAAAGGCAACUGAAUGGCAAUAGCUCAGUUUUGGAGGAGCUAGUGAAAUUGGCUAUGAACAUUGACUGUUUGUGAUUUUCACUAGGACAGAACAAAUGCACAGGGCUUAGAUAGGUCACAAUGAGAGAUACUUCAGUACACUAGUAGCAAGAUUUUCUGAUGCGAAUGUUGCUGUGGAAUUGAAAAGUUACCAGAGAGAUUACAUCUAUAUAGCUAGAAACUUUAAAAUACAGCUUUAAACCAGUAUUGGAUGGCUUAUCUCUUAUCCUGCCUCAACCCAGAGAGAUGGAGUCAGCCAUUCAAGAUCCCAUCCAACCUCUUGAUUAUAUGAAACAUCCCGAAUUCCCAAUCAAUUAGGAGAGGAGUAUCUAGACUUUCCUUCAAUGUGUGCAUAACAACACUUGUUCUUUCUAGGCUUUCUUAUCCUCUCCCCUUAAAAAGAGAGAGUUUGAAUCUGGAAACAAAGAGAAUAGCAAAGUCUAUGUAAUUUGAUCCCAUUUCCUAUUAUCUCCUUGUUAUGCCACAGCAAAAAUGCCUUUCUCAGGUAAAGAAGUUUCAAAUCUCCUCAUCCUUUAGAACAUCAAGACCCAUUUCUAGGUGCAAUGUCUCUGCUCACAUUGCUCUCCCUUGCCUGGGAUGCUCUUUCUCUUAGGAAAUCCACCCACCUACUGUGUCAUGUUCUACCCAGUGUUCAAGGUCUCACUCUAAUCAUAGAGCCUCUAGUCAUACUCUUCUGAGAAUUUCUCUGAUACUGUAAGUCUGUAUCACAGUCUAUUGCUGAAUUACGUUGUUUGUGAUUCUUUGGCAUUAUACAAUAUCCAUCUUUCCAACCAGAUUGUGAGUUCUUUAAGAAAUCUUACCCAGUGCUCUUCUGAAUCUCCCAAAUCGCACAGUCAGAAUGCAAAGAUUUUGUUGUUGUUGUUGUUUUUAGUCACAAAUAGUUUUGAGAACUUAUUUUCAGUCUUGAGUUUUCAUGAGCUUAAAAAUUAAAAAUACUAAAAAUGCACAGGGGUUAGGUAGGGAUUAUUAUAUCCUUGCAGAAUAUAUUAGGAAUUAGUCAAACUGCAAACUGUGUUGGGCACAACAUUAUCUCAUUGCAGAGGCAACACUAUCUGAUGAUUUUUACUGAAAGGAUUUGGAAUGGAGAUGCCCUUGACAUUUUCAUGUAGGCAUCCAGGAAAGAUUCAGGAAAUGAGGCUGCUCCUGUCCUCUGAAGCUCCAAUUCUCUGGUCCCCUAUGUCAAGAUAAGAGUCCAUUCUGCUGGAAUCAGUUCAUCUGAAGUUUAAGUGUAGAAAGAAUGUUGUAUACUGUGAUGCUGGGGCUGGCUCUCUGCAAACCACGUUUCAGCUUGGCCUGAUGGUG